AGUGAACGCUGGCGGUAGGCCUAACACAUGCAAGUCGAACGGCAGCACAGUAAGAGCUUGCUCUUACGGGUGGCGAGUGGCGGACGGGUGAGGAAUACAUCGGAAUCUACUUUUUCGUGGGGGAUAACGUAGGGAAACUUACGCUAAUACCGCAUACGACCUACGGGUGAAAGCAGGGGAUCUUCCGACCUUGCGCGAUUGAAUGAGCCGAUGUCGGAUUAGCUAGUUGGCGGGGUAAAGGCCCACCAAGGCGACGAUCCGUAGCUGGUCUGAGAGGAUGAUCAGCCACACUGGAACUGAGACACGGUCCAGACUCCUACGGGAGGCAGCAGUGGGGAAUAUUGGACAAAGGGCGCAAGCCUGAUCCAGCCAUACCGCGUGGGUGAAGAAGGCCUUCGGGUUGUAAAGCCCUUUUGUUGGGAAAGAAAAGCAGCAGGUUAAUACCCCGCUGUUCUGACGGUACCCAAAGAAUAAGCACCGGCUAACUUCGUG
RNAcentral lists this ribosomal RNA (492 nucleotides) under uncultured bacterium. Its description in RNAcentral is "partial 16S ribosomal RNA". It matches the Rfam family "Bacterial small subunit ribosomal RNA", at positions 29 to 507 of the family's 1533-position model. The record is from RNAcentral.